UAGGUAGACAAAAGACAAGCUUCUUU
Molecule: non-coding RNA, 26 nt
Filed under: Mus musculus (house mouse)
Lineage: Eukaryota; Metazoa; Chordata; Mammalia; Rodentia; Muridae
Source: RNAcentral